UGUAGCUCAGUGGCAGAGCACUUACCUAGCAUGUAUGAAGCCCUGGGUUUGAUUCCCUGCA
Molecule: transfer RNA, 61 nt
Filed under: Cavia porcellus (domestic guinea pig)
Lineage: Eukaryota; Metazoa; Chordata; Mammalia; Rodentia; Caviidae
Rfam family: tRNA
About the family: Transfer RNA (tRNA) molecules are approximately 80 nucleotides in length. Their secondary structure includes four short double-helical elements and three loops (D, anti-codon, and T loops).
Source: Rfam by way of RNAcentral